UACGGAGGUGGCAAGCGUUGCUCGGAAUCACUGGGCGUAAAGGGCGCGUAGGCGGGGAGGUAAGUCGGGUGUGAAAUCCCUCGGCCCAACCGAGGAACUGCGCCCGAGACUGCUUCUCUUGAGGCCCGGAGAGGAAGAUGGAAUUCCCGGUGUAGCGGUGAAAUGUGUAGAGAUCGGGAGGAACACCGGUGGCGAAGGCGGUCUUCUGGACGGUGACUGACGCUGAGGCGCGAAGGCGUGGGGAGCAAACGGG
RNAcentral lists this ribosomal RNA (253 nucleotides) under uncultured bacterium. RNAcentral's name for it is "partial 16S ribosomal RNA". It matches the Rfam family "Bacterial small subunit ribosomal RNA", at positions 524 to 776 of the family's 1533-position model. The record is from RNAcentral.